Gopherus evgoodei (Goodes thornscrub tortoise) is the source of this 252-nucleotide long non-coding RNA. RefSeq lists it as uncharacterized. The transcript is spliced from 3 exons. NCBI's taxonomy places the organism in Eukaryota, Metazoa, Chordata, Testudines, Testudinidae. The record is from RefSeq and is a predicted model, not a curated record.
CGUUGUUGGGGCAGGCGGAGCUGGGCUGCGAAGCAGCGUUGGUCGCUGCAAUACUGCCUGGCUCGCGCAGGACCGUUGGAGCCUCUCCCAGGGCCGGAGAAGGUUUUCUCUCCAGGUGUCUGACUGAGAUCAGGGCUUCUAUUGGACUGAGAUCAGGGCUCCUAUCGUACAGAGCAUGGCCCUCUUCUGCCAGGUGCUGCAGAGACUCCAGGGGCCGGUGACCGUCGAGGAGGCGACUGUGUAUUUCACCAG